This 467-nucleotide ribosomal RNA is filed under the name uncultured bacterium. Its description in RNAcentral is "partial 16S ribosomal RNA". It matches the Rfam family "Bacterial small subunit ribosomal RNA", at positions 28 to 506 of the family's 1533-position model. The record is from RNAcentral.
GACGAACGCUGGCGGCGUGCUUAACACAUGCAAGUCGAACGGAAAGGCCCUGCUUUUGUGGGGUGCUCGAGUGGCGAACGGGUGAGUAACACGUGAGUAGCCUGCCCUUGACUUUGGGAUAACUUCAGGAAACUGGGGCUAAUACCGGAUAGGAGCUCCUGCUGCAUGGUGGGGGUUGGAAAGUUUCGGCGGUUGGGGAUGGACUCGCGGCUUAUCAGCUUGUUGGUGGGGUAGUGGCUUACCAAGGCUUUGACGGGUAGCCGGCCUGAGAGGGUGACCGGCCACAUUGGGACUGAGAUACGGCCCAGACUCCUACGGGGGGCAGCAGUGGGGAAUAUUGCACAAUGGGCGGAAGCCUGAUGCAGCAACGCCGCGUGCGGGAUGACGGCCUUCGGGUUGUAAACCGCUUUCGCCUGUGACGAAGCGUGAGUGACGGUAAUGGGUAAAGAAGCACCGGCUAACUACGU